CCUACAGGAGGCUGCAGUGAGGAAUAUUGGUCAAUGGGCGCGAGCCUGAACCAGCCAAGUAGCGUGAAGGAUGACUGCCCUACGGGUUGUAAACUUCUUUGAUAAAGGAAUAAAGUGAGGCACGUGUGCCUUUUUGUAUGUACGUUAUGAAUAAGGAGCGGCUAACUCCGUGCCAGCAUCCGCGGUAAUACGGAGGAUCCGAGCGUUAUCCGGAUUUAGUGGGUUUAACGGGAGCGUAGAUGGGUUGUUAAGUCAGUUGUGAAAGUUUGCGGCUCAACCGUAAAAUUGCCAUUGAUACUGGCAGCCUUGCGUACAGUUGCGGUAGGCGGCAUUCGUUGUGUAGCGG
RNAcentral lists this ribosomal RNA (346 nucleotides) under uncultured bacterium. RNAcentral describes it as "partial 16S ribosomal RNA". It matches the Rfam family "Bacterial small subunit ribosomal RNA", at positions 338 to 681 of the family's 1533-position model. The record is from RNAcentral.